AUACCUUUCUCGGCCUUUUGGCUAAGAUCAAGUGUAGUAUCUGUUCUUAUCAGUUUAAUAUCUGAUAUGUGGGCCAAUGGUCCACACGAUAUUAAAUUAAUUUUUUGAUGGGAAAUGUCCAAUCGAUAGCUUGCUAUUGGGAUGUUUACGUGUCGCCUAUGCUUUGCACUAUUGCAUUGGCCUGGCACACCCUCU
Molecule: small nuclear RNA, 195 nt
Filed under: Phaseolus vulgaris (common bean)
Lineage: Eukaryota; Viridiplantae; Streptophyta; Magnoliopsida; Fabales; Fabaceae
Description: snRNA U2
Rfam family: U2 spliceosomal RNA
About the family: U2 is a small nuclear RNA (snRNA) component of the spliceosome (involved in pre-mRNA splicing).
Source: Rfam by way of RNAcentral